This 497-nucleotide ribosomal RNA is filed under the name uncultured bacterium. RNAcentral's name for it is "partial 16S ribosomal RNA". It matches the Rfam family "Bacterial small subunit ribosomal RNA", at positions 28 to 507 of the family's 1533-position model. The record is from RNAcentral.
GAUGAACGCUGGCGGCGUGCCUAAUACAUGCAAGUCGAGCGAACAGACGAGGAGCUUGCUCCUCUGACGUUAGCGGCGGACGGGUGAGUAACACGUGGAUAACCUACCUAUAAGACUGGGAUAACUUCGGGAAACCGGAGCUAAUACCGGAUAAUAUAUUGAACCGCAUGGUUCAAUAGUGAAAGACGGUUUUGCUGUCACUUAUAGAUGGAUCCGAGCCGCAUUAGCUAGUUGGUAAGGUAACGGCUUACCAAGGCAACGAUGCGUAGCCGACCUGAGAGGGUGAUCGGCCGCACUGGAACGGAGACACGGUCCAGACUCCUACGGGAGGCAGCAGUAGGGAAUCUUCCGCAAUGGGCGAAAGCCUGACGGAGCAACGCCGCGUGAGUGAUGGAGGUCUUCGGAUCGUAAAACUCUGUUAUUAGGGAAGAACAAAUGUGUAAGUAACUAUGCACGUCUUGACGGUACCUAAUCAGAAAGCCACGGCUAACUACGUG